RNAcentral lists this ribosomal RNA (424 nucleotides) under uncultured bacterium. RNAcentral's name for it is "bacterial SSU rRNA". It matches the Rfam family "Bacterial small subunit ribosomal RNA", at positions 508 to 930 of the family's 1533-position model. The record is from RNAcentral.
UCAGCCGCCGCGGUAAUACAGAGGGUGCGAGCGUUGUCCGGAAUCACUGGGCGUAAAGGGCGCGUAGGUGGCGCGACAAGUCGGUGGUGAAAGUUCGACGCUCAACGUCGAAUCGGCCACCGAUACUGUCGGGCUCGAGCACUGUAGAGGCUAAUGGAAUUCCGGGUGUAGCGGUGGAAUGCGUAGAGAUCCGGAAGAACACCGGUGGCGAAGGCGGUUAGCUGGGCAGUUGCUGACACUGAGGCGCGACAGCGUGGGGAGCAAACAGGAUUAGAUACCCUGGUAGUCCACGCCGUAAACGAUGGGCACUAGAUGCUUGGGGGAGCGACCCCCUGAGUGUCGACGCUAACGCAUUAAGUGCCCCGCCUGGGGAGUACGGCCGCAAGGCUGAAACUCAAAGGAAUUGACGGGGGCCCGCACAAGC